AGGAUGAACGCUAGCGGCAGGCUUAAUACAUGCAAGUCGAGGGGUAACAUGGGUAGCAAUACCUGAUGACGACCGGCAAACGGGUGCGGAACACGUACGCAACCUUCCCAAAACUGGUGAAUAGCCCUCCGAAAGGAGGAUUAAUACACCGUAACAUAAUGAAAAAGUGGCAUCACUUUAUUAUUAUAGCUCAGGCGGUUUUGGAUGGGCGUGCGCCUGAUUAGGUAGUUGGCGGGGUAACGGCCCACCGAAGCCUGCGAUCAGUAACUGGUGUGAGAGCACGACCAGUACCACACGGGCACUGAGACACGGGCCCACUCCGUACGGGAGCAGCAAGUAAGGAAUAUUGGUACAAGUGGACGCAAGUCUACGAACC
This 376-nucleotide ribosomal RNA is filed under the name uncultured soil bacterium. RNAcentral describes it as "bacterial SSU rRNA". It matches the Rfam family "Bacterial small subunit ribosomal RNA", at positions 26 to 389 of the family's 1533-position model. The record is from RNAcentral.